CCUCACUUUCGAUCAAGUUUUGCUCCAUGGUGUGGAUGCAAAAAGCGGGUUCCUGUGUUGCAUACCCUAUUGCGAUGGAAAUUUGUGCCAAUCGUUUGUCCCUUUCAACACGACAUCCUCUUUGGGUGCUCGGUUGAACUAGAUGGUGGGGCUUGCGUUCCCUAAACACAUCACAUUUGAUUGUUUGGAUGGACCGUGAGUGCUUACUUGUUCUCUCGGAUGCGGAAAAUUCUUAAUGGGUSUUUGAGGUCAUCGGCCCUUGUUCCCAAAGCUCAAGCGUUUAUCGCUUUACUGGAAUGACGCUCUCGCCUUGUCUUUGGUCGCGUGGAGCUCUCGGGCUUCACGGUGGAUCAUGCUUGGCGGACGUCGUGAAGGAAUGCUACCUGGUUG
Molecule: unclassified non-coding RNA, 390 nt
Filed under: Uromyrtus neomyrtoides
Lineage: Eukaryota; Viridiplantae; Streptophyta; Magnoliopsida; Myrtales; Myrtaceae
Description: partial external transcribed spacer
Source: RNAcentral